This is a long non-coding RNA of Patella vulgata (common limpet), 571 nucleotides long. RefSeq lists it as uncharacterized. The transcript has 5 exons. NCBI's taxonomy places the organism in Eukaryota, Metazoa, Mollusca, Gastropoda, Patellidae. The record is from RefSeq and is a predicted model, not a curated record.
GCUUAUCAAAAUGUUCAACAUAAUCCUAUUGGGUAUUGUCUUAGUGUUAACGGGUAUUCGAGCCCAAUCUUGUGGGGUUUAUAUCAGAAAUCAUAAUUACAUUGGGGAUUAUUGCGUUACUACAAUCUUAAAUUCAACAGAAGGAACCUUCUAUAGUCCUUGUUACAAUGUAACAGGUCGUUCAUAUGAAGAUAACAAUGAAUGUAACUAUAUGAUAGAGACCGGAAGUGGGGUGAAAGAUAUUCUGCUGUAUUUUGAAGAUUUUGAUACGUUGACGGAUGUGUUGGUUGUAGAUACUGAUGGUAAAACCAAUAAUAAGAGAGAUUUUACUGGCGAUAUGACAGGAGAACAUUUUACAAUACAAAGCGUGAAGAGAUACGCCAUGUUAAGAUUUGUUACUGACUUCGAUGGUGCUGGACGGGGAUUCUCUAUAAAAUAUAAAAUUCAAAACGCUGGACCAUAUGUACCGCCAACGACAACGACCACUACAAGAAAGCCAGUGGGACAUAUUCACCACCAUCAUGUAGAUCCAAUGUUUCACGUAGAUCGAGGCUUCAUUAAACCUCAAUAA